Molecule: ribosomal RNA, 921 nt
Filed under: uncultured bacterium
Lineage: Bacteria
Description: bacterial SSU rRNA
Rfam family: Bacterial small subunit ribosomal RNA
Source: RNAcentral
CGAAUUCGCCCUUAGAGUUUGAUCCUGGCUCAGGAUGAACGCUAGCUACAGGCUUAACACAUGCAAGUCGAGGGGCAGCGGGAUUGAAGCUUGCUUCAAUUGCCGGCGACCGGCGCACGGGUGAGUAACGCGUAUCCAACCUUCCGUACACUCAGGGAUAGCCUUUCGAAAGAAAGAUUAAUACCUGAUGGUAUGAUGAGAUUGCAUGAUAGCAUCAUUAAAGAUUUAUCGGUGUACGAUGGGGAUGCGUUCCAUUAGGUAGUAGGCGGGGUAACGGCCCACCUAGCCAACGAUGGAUAGGGGUUCUGAGAGGAAGGUCCCCCACAUUGGAACUGAGACACGGUCCAAACUCCUACGGGAGGCAGCAGUGAGGAAUAUUGGUCAAUGGACGAGAGUCUGAACCAGCCAAGUAGCGUGAAGGAUGAAGGUCCUACGGAUUGUAAACUUCUUUUAUAAGGGAAUAAACCCUCCCACGUGUGGGAGCUUGUAUGUACCUUAUGAAUAAGCAUCGGCUAACUCCGUGCCAGCAGCCGCGGUAAUACGGAGGAUGCGAGCGUUAUCCGGAUUUAUUGGGUUUAAAGGGAGCGCAGACGGGUCGUUAAGUCAGCUGUGAAAGUUUGGGGCUCAACCUUAAAAUUGCAGUUGAUACUGGCGUCCUUGAGUGCGGUUGAGGUGUGCGGAAUUCGUGGUGUAGCGGUGAAAUGCUUAGAUAUCACGAAGAACUCCGAUUGCGAAGGCCAGCACACUAAUCCGCAACUGACGUUCAUGCUCGAAAGUGUGGGUAUCAAACAGGAUUAGAUACCCUGGUAGUCCACACGGUAAACGAUGGAUACUCGCUGUUGGCGAUAUACUGUCAGCGGCUUAGCGAAAGCGUUAAGUAUCCCACCUGGGGAGUACGCCGGCAACGGUGAAACUCAACAG